GCAGUCGCCGCGGGAAUACGGAGGGUGCAAGCGUUAAUCGGAAUUACUGGGCGUAAAGCGCACGCAGGCGGUCUGUCAAGUCAGAUGUGAAAUCCCCGGGCUUAACCUGGGAACUGCAUUUGAAACUGGCAGGCUAGAGUCUUGUAGAGGGGGGUAGAAUUCCAGGUGUAGCGGUGAAAUGCGUAGAGAUCUGGAGGAAUACCGGUGGCGAAGGCGGCCCCCUGGACAAAGACUGACGCUCAGGUGCGAAAGCGUGGGGAGCAAACAGGAUUAGAUACCCCAGUAGUCCCUGUCUCUUAUAA
Molecule: ribosomal RNA, 302 nt
Filed under: uncultured bacterium
Lineage: Bacteria
Description: partial 16S ribosomal RNA
Rfam family: Bacterial small subunit ribosomal RNA
Source: RNAcentral